Molecule: ribosomal RNA, 565 nt
Filed under: Bipolaris oryzae
Lineage: Eukaryota; Fungi; Ascomycota; Dothideomycetes; Pleosporales; Pleosporaceae
Description: eukaryotic LSU rRNA
Rfam family: 5.8S ribosomal RNA (bases 192-345)
Source: RNAcentral
CUGCGGAGGGAUCAUUACACAACAAAAUAUGAAGGCCUGGCUUUCGCGGCCGGCUGAAGUAUUUUUUUCACCCAUGUCUUUUGCGCACUUGUUGUUUCCUGGGCGGGUUCGCCCGCCACCAGGACCAAACCAUAAACCUUUUUUUCUUAUGCAGUUUCCAUCAGCGUCAGUAAAAACAAUGUAAUUAUUACAACUUUCAACAACGGAUCUCUUGGUUCUGGCAUCGAUGAAGAACGCAGCGAAAUGCGAUACGUAGUGUGAAUUGCAGAAUUCAGUGAAUCAUCGAAUCUUUGAACGCACAUUGCGCCCUUUGGUAUUCCAAAGGGCAUGCCUGUUCGAGCGUCAUUUGUACCUUCAAGCUUUGCUUGGUGUUGGGCGUUUUUUUGUCUCCCUCUUUCUGGGAGACUCGCCUUAAAACGAUUGGCAGCCGGCCUACUGGUUUCGGAGCGCAGCACAUUUUUUGCGCUUUGUAUCAGGAGAAAAGGACGGUACUCCAUCAAGACUCUACAUUUUUCACUUUUGACCUCGGAUCAGGUAGGGAUACCCGCUGAACUUAAGCAUAUCA